UUGUGAGGUGAGAGAAUCCUUGCCUGUUAGAACCUGAUGAUUGGAGUUUGCAUGGGGUGUGAUGAAUGUCCUGUGUAAUCAGGACUUGGGGCACUCUGAUUGCUCUUACCUGGU
Small nucleolar RNA from Lepus europaeus (European hare), 114 nucleotides. RefSeq annotates it as U8 small nucleolar RNA. The transcript has a single exon. The record is from RefSeq and is a predicted model, not a curated record. NCBI's taxonomy places the organism in Eukaryota, Metazoa, Chordata, Mammalia, Lagomorpha, Leporidae.